AUUGAACGCUGGCGGCAUGCCUUACACAUGCAAGUCGAACGGCAGCACGGGGGCAAUCCUGGUGGCGAGUGGCGAACGGGUGAGUAAUACAUCGGAACGUGCCCAACCGUGGGGGAUAACGUAGCGAAAGUUACGCUAAUACCGCAUACGAUCUACGGAUGAAAGCGGGGGACCGCAAGGCCUCGCGCGAUUGGAGCGGCCGAUGGCAGAUUAGGUAGUUGGUGGGGUAAAGGCCUACCAAGCCUCCGAUCUGUAGCUGGUCUGAGAGGACGAUCAGCCACACUGGGACUGAGACACGGGCCAGACUCCUACGGGAGGCAGCAGUGGGGAAUUUUGGACAAUGGGCGAAAGCCUGAUCCAGCAAUGCCGCGUGCAGGACGAAGGCCUUCGGGUUGUAAACUGCUUUUGUACGGAGCGAAACGGCUUUCACUAAUACUGGGGGCUAAUGACGGUACCGUAAGAAUAAGCACCGGCUAACUACGUGCCAGCCGCCGCCGUAA
RNAcentral lists this ribosomal RNA (500 nucleotides) under uncultured bacterium. RNAcentral's name for it is "partial 16S ribosomal RNA". It matches the Rfam family "Bacterial small subunit ribosomal RNA", at positions 29 to 523 of the family's 1533-position model. The record is from RNAcentral.